UACAGAGGGUGCGAGCGUUAUUCGGAUUCAUUGGGCGUAAAGCGCAUGUAGGCGGUUUGAUAAGUUUGAUGUGAAAUCCCAGAGCUCAAAUCUGGAAGUGCAUUGAAUACUGUCGAACUAGAGUAUAGGAGAGGAGAGCGGAAUUUCUGGUGUAGAGGUGAAAUUCGUAGAUAUCAGAAGGAACAACAGUGGCGAAGGCGGCUCUCUGGACUAUCACUGACGCUGAGAUGCGAAAGCGUGGGGAGCAAACAGG
Molecule: ribosomal RNA, 253 nt
Filed under: uncultured bacterium
Lineage: Bacteria
Description: partial 16S ribosomal RNA
Rfam family: Bacterial small subunit ribosomal RNA
Source: RNAcentral